Molecule: ribosomal RNA, 301 nt
Filed under: uncultured bacterium
Lineage: Bacteria
Description: partial 16S ribosomal RNA
Rfam family: Bacterial small subunit ribosomal RNA
Source: RNAcentral
CAGCCGCCACGGUAAUACGUAGGUGGCAAGCGUUGUCCGGAAUUAUUGGGCGUAAAGCGCGCGCAGGCGGAUCAGUCAGUCUGUCUUAAAAGUUCGGGGCUUAACCCCGUGAUGGGAUGGAAACUGCUGAUCUAGAGUAUCGGAGAGGAAAGUGGAAUUCCUAGUGUAGCGGUGAAAUGCGUAGAUAUUAGGAAGAACACCAGUGGCGAAGGCGACUUUCUGGACGAAAACUGACGCUGAGGCGCGAAAGCCAGGGGAGCGAACGGGAUUAGAUACCCCCGUAGUCCCUGUCUCUUAUACA